GAUUUCUGGUAUGGCGCACUUGGCCCGCCAAGGUUACUUGGUUGUGUGCCGGUGUGCGCCUGCCAUCCUUCUGGGGAACGGCUCUACCCUUCACUGGGUGGGAGUCGGUAUCCAGAUCUUUUACUUUGAAAAAAUUAGAGUGUUUAAAGCAGGCUUUUUGCUAUGAAUACAUUAGCAUGGAAUAAUAAUUUAGGACUUUGGCCCUAUUUUGUUGGUUUCUAGGACUGAAGUAAUGAUUGAUAGGGAUAGUUGGGGGUGCUCGAAUUCAGCGGCCAGAGGUGAAAUUCUUGGAUUCGCUGAAGACGAACUCAUGCGAAAGCAUU
This 323-nucleotide ribosomal RNA is filed under the name Cercomonas sp. RNAcentral describes it as "SSU rRNA". The stretch from base 105 to 323 matches the Rfam family "Eukaryotic small subunit ribosomal RNA", at positions 736 to 955 of the family's 1831-position model. Lineage: Eukaryota; Cercozoa; Cercomonadida; Cercomonadidae. The record is from RNAcentral. RNAcentral also lists the same sequence under 1 other name.